Molecule: ribosomal RNA, 253 nt
Filed under: uncultured bacterium
Lineage: Bacteria
Description: partial 16S ribosomal RNA
Rfam family: Bacterial small subunit ribosomal RNA
Source: RNAcentral
GCCAGAGGAGCCAAGCGUUGUCCGGAUUUACUGGGUGUAAAGGGUGCGCAGGCGGACUGGUAAGUCAGAGGUGAAAUCUCGUCGCUUAACGACGAAACUGCCUUUGAUACUAUCAGUCUUGAAUCCGGUAGAGAUCUGUGGAAUUCCGAGUGUAGCAGUGAAAUGUGUAGAUAUUCGGAAGAACACCAGUGGCGAAGGCAGCAGAUUGGGCCGGUAUUGACGCUCAGGCACGAAAGCAUGGGGAUCAAACAGG